RNAcentral lists this small RNA (673 nucleotides) under Pongo abelii (Sumatran orangutan). RNAcentral describes it as "processed transcript". The record is from RNAcentral. Lineage: Eukaryota; Metazoa; Chordata; Mammalia; Primates; Hominidae.
GAUCUCCGAGCGAGGCGGCAAGAUGGACGCGGGAUUUUUCCGCGGAACAAGUGCAGAACAGGAUAAUCGGUUCAGCAACAAACAGAAGAAACUACUGAAGCAGCUGAAAUUUGCAGAAUGCCUAGAAAAAAAGGUGGACAUGAGCAAAGUAAAUUUGGAGGUUAUAAAGCCUUGGAUAACAAAAAGAGUAACGGAAAUCCUUGGGUUUGAAGAUGAUGUUGUGAUUGAGUUUAUAUUCAACCAGCUGGAAGUGAAGGCCUGAACCAAAAUGGAAGUUAUUCCUUGCGUCUGAAGUAUAGCACCAUCACCUUAUUAGGUCACAGCAGAGUGAGUGUCCCAAUGUCGCUCUGACCCAACUCCCUUGAUGAUGCAGUGUGUGUUUGGAGAAUCCAGACUCCAAAAUGAUGCAAAUCAACCUGACUGGAUUUUUGAAUGGAAAAAAUGCUCGAGAAUUUAUGGGAGAACUGUGGCCCCUGCUGCUAAGUGCACAAGAAAACAUCGCGGGAAUCCCUUCUGCUUUCCUAGAACUGAAGAAAGAAGAAAUAAAACAAAGACAGAUUGAACAAGAAAAAUUGGCAUCUAUGAAAAAGCAAGAUGAAGACAAAGAUAAAAGAGAUAAGGAAGAAAAAGAAAGCAGCAGAGAAAAAAGGGAGAGGUCUCGUAGCCCAAGAAG